AAUUCGAUUGAGUUUGAUCAUGGCUCAGAGCGAACGCUGGCGGCAGGCUUAACACAUGCAAGUCGAACGGGCAUCCUUCGGGGUGUCAGUGGCAGACAGGUGAGUAACACGUGGGAACGUGCCCUUCGGUUCGGAAUAACUCAGGGAAACUUGAGCUAAUACCGGAUACGCCCUUACGGGGAAAGGUUUACUGCCGAAGGAUCGGCCCGCGUCUGAUUAGCUAGUUGGUGGGGUAAUGGCCUACCAAGGCGACGAUCAGUAGCUGGUCUGAGAGGAUGAUCAGCCACACUGGGACUGAGACACGGCCCAGACUCCUACGGGAGGCAGCAGUGGGGAAUAUUGGACAAUGGGCGAAAGCCUGAUCCAGCCAUGCCGCGUGAGUGAUGAAGGCCUUAGGGUUGUAAAGCUCUUUCGACGGGGACGAUAAUGACGGUACCCGUAGAAGAAGCCCCGGCUAACUUCGUGCCAGCAGCCGCGGUAAUACGAAGGGGGCUAGCGUUGCUCGGAAUCACUGGGCGUAAAGGGCGCGUAGGCGGCCGAUCAAGUCAGAGGUGAAAGCCCAAGGCUCAACCUUGGAAUUGCCUUUGAUACUGUUCGGCUAGAGACCGGAAGAGGUUAGUGGAACUGCGAGUGUAGAGGUGAAAUUCGUAGAUAUUCGCAAGAACACCAGUGGCGAAGGCGGCUAACUGGCCCGGUUCUGACGCUGAGGCGC
Molecule: ribosomal RNA, 712 nt
Filed under: uncultured bacterium
Lineage: Bacteria
Description: bacterial SSU rRNA
Rfam family: Bacterial small subunit ribosomal RNA
Source: RNAcentral